Sarcophilus harrisii (Tasmanian devil) is the source of this 552-nucleotide long non-coding RNA. RefSeq lists it as uncharacterized. The record is from RefSeq and is a predicted model, not a curated record. NCBI's taxonomy places the organism in Eukaryota, Metazoa, Chordata, Mammalia, Dasyuromorphia, Dasyuridae. The transcript is spliced from 4 exons.
GAGAGUUCUUUUAGCUUGCCCUAACAACAACUACAGUGAUAUAAAGCAUGAGGCUAGGAGGCUGUGGCUGGUUGCUUGAAGAAAAAUUGAUGACUUCCAGGAAAAAAAUACUUGGACAGUCUGCACUCACCUCAUAAUGAAUGAUUCAUCAGGAGAGUUCAUCCCAUUAACAUUCACAGUUAUAAUUACCAGGUACUCUAUAAUCGAACCCAUUAUAUAAGUUGAGAGAUAGGAGGAUGAGAAUGAGGGAUCCGUGGAAAAAGAGAGGAUGAAGCUCACCAAGCCCAUGAAAUCCAGAAUCACUUUGUAGAUAUCAAGACAAAUUGGAUUGCUUUGUCACCUAAAGCAAAAGUAAAGAGGUGACUUCUAGUAAACUCCAGAUCCUAAAUUUCUUUUCGGGAGAGAGCCAGAUAAUCUGGGAGGCUCUAUAAAUACCAGGUCUUUCUUUGAGCUGGGAAUCUGAUUUUCUUUUUUGUAUUGCAUUUGAGUUGGAGAAUGCCAUUUCAAAUACUAAGAAAGGCCUUAUUUAGUAUUAAACAAACAAUUAUCUUU